GAGUUAGGGUGACCUUGUGUCGCCCGACCUCCCAACCCUUUGUCUAAUUUACCUUGUCGUUGCUUCGGCGGACCGGUCGACCAACUGGUCUUGACCGCCGGGGGUCUCAUCCCCCUGGAGAGCGUCCGCCGACGGCCCAACCACAAACUCUUGUACCAAACCAUGUCGUCUGAAUUACUUGAUUAAAAUCAAAAACAAAACUUUCAACAACGGAUCUCUUGGUUCU
This 226-nucleotide unclassified non-coding RNA is filed under the name rhizosphere metagenome. RNAcentral describes it as "partial ribosomal RNA internal transcribed spacer region". The record is from RNAcentral.